RNAcentral lists this ribosomal RNA (467 nucleotides) under uncultured bacterium. RNAcentral's name for it is "partial 16S ribosomal RNA". It matches the Rfam family "Bacterial small subunit ribosomal RNA", at positions 28 to 507 of the family's 1533-position model. The record is from RNAcentral.
GACGAACGCUGGCGGCGUGCUUAACACAUGCAAGUCGAACGGAAAGGCCCUGCUUUUGUGGGGUGCUCGAGUGGCGAACGGGUGAGUAACACGUGAGUAACCUGCCCUUGACUUUGGGAUAACUUCAGGAAACUGGGGCUAAUACCGGAUAGGAGCUCCUGCUGCAUGGUGGGGUUGGAAAGUUUCGGCGGUUGGGGAUGGACUCGCGGCUUAUCAGCUUGUUGGUGGGGUAGUGGCUUACCAAGGCUUUGACGGGUAGCCGGCCUGAGAGGGUGACCGGCCACAUUGGGACUGAGAUACGGCCCAGACUCCUACGGGAGGCAGCAGUGGGGAAUAUUGCACAAUGGGCGGAAGCCUAAUGCAGCAACGCCGCGUGCGGGAUGACGGCCUUCGGGUUGUAAACCGCUUUCGCCUGUGACGAAGCGUGAGUGACGGUAAUGGGUAAAGAAGCACCGGCUAACUACGUG